Molecule: ribosomal RNA, 360 nt
Filed under: Triticum aestivum (bread wheat)
Lineage: Eukaryota; Viridiplantae; Streptophyta; Magnoliopsida; Poales; Poaceae
Description: partial small subunit ribosomal RNA
Source: RNAcentral
AUGUCUCGUAGCAGUACUAAAGCUGAGUAUAAAGCAGUUGCUGAUGCUACUGCUGAGAUCAUAUGGGUACAGUCCUUAUUGCGGAAGUUGAGAAUCUCUCCAGGUCAUCCUCCAGUUCUGUGGUGUGAUAACAUUGGUGCUACAUACCUUUCAUCUAAUCCGGUGUUUCAUGCUAGGACGAAACACAUUGAGGUUGACUAUCAUUUUGUUCGGGAACGUGUUGCACAGAGACUACUUUGUAUCAAGUUCAUCUCCUCAAAAGAUCAACUUGCUGACAUCUUCACGAAGCCUCUUCCACAACCACAGUUUGUAGGCUGUAGGCGCAAUCUUAACUUACUUUGUACUUCAGGCUAUAGUUAA